RNAcentral lists this ribosomal RNA (253 nucleotides) under uncultured bacterium. RNAcentral describes it as "partial 16S ribosomal RNA". It matches the Rfam family "Bacterial small subunit ribosomal RNA", at positions 524 to 776 of the family's 1533-position model. The record is from RNAcentral.
UACGUAGGGGGCAAGCGUUGUCCGGAAUCAUUGGGCGUAAAGCGCGUGUAGGCGGCUCGAUAAGUCUGCUGUGAAAGUCCAGGGCUCAACCCUGGGAUGCCGGUGGAUACUGUCGAGCUCGAGUCCGGAAGAGGAGUGUGGAAUUCCUGGUGUAGCGGUGAAAUGCGCAGAUAUCAGGAGGAACACCAAUGGCGAAGGCAGCACUCUGGGACGUGACUGACGCUGAGACGCGAAAGCGCGGGGAGCAAACAGG